Molecule: long non-coding RNA, 1494 nt
Organism: Heterocephalus glaber (naked mole-rat)
Lineage: Eukaryota; Metazoa; Chordata; Mammalia; Rodentia; Bathyergidae
Source: Ensembl
CCACAGAGUCAUGUGUGGAAGAGUGCAAAAGGUCUGUUUGUGUGCUAGAGAUUCGAAGAGUCCAGUGGAAAGUGUGAAGUCCAUUGUACUGUGCAUGAGUCUGUUAUCAGAAGGCAAAAGGAUCUUUAAUAGAAGGCUGAAGAGUCCGUGCUGGAAACCAGGAGACAACGUCCAAGAUGAAGGUGAACACUGGAGCCCCUCUGAAGAAACAAAAAAAGUGAGAGUUUCUCAUGCACAGAAUGUGCAUUAGUGGUGAUGGAAUUUCUUCUAGGAGACAGAGAAACCCACAGUAAUGGAUUAAAAGAUCAGGAGACCCUGCUUUCUCUUCCUGUCUGUCUUACACUAUAAAUAAAGAGCGUGCUGGAUUCCAGGCAGUCAUUAGCUCAUCAGGCUGCGGUUCCACCUGGUCCCAGCUUUCAAGCAUCAAUUUUGAGUGCAAUUUUGAAGAAAAGAGGGAAGAUGGGAGAAGUGAAUAGUCAGCUAUAUUCAUGGUGUUGAAGAAAGAAUUUGGUUUGCUGGGAUACAGCCUGUGAUAACAGAACAAGGCCUGGAAAGAAACAGGUUAUGUCUGGCUGGAGAGUGAUUGGCAUUAACAAGGAAUAUUACCACAUAGUAGCAAAAAAAAAUAAUAAUACAAGGAAGAGCCAAUGAAGAUUAUGCAAUCUGAAAGAGAGGAAAAGAGACUGAACAAAACAAAGAGAUCAUCAGAGAACUGAGGGAAAGUUUCAAGAAGUAAAAUACGUUAAGAUCUGGCCAUGGAGUUCAAGCUGGCCUUGGACUGACUGUAUAAUCAUAGGCUGGCCUCCAACUCACAGCAAUCCUCCUGUCUCAGCCUCUCAAGCACUGGAUUACAGGAAUGUGCCACCAUGCUCAGCGAAUUUUCUGUUUUUAUCCAAGUUUUCAGUUUGAUUUAUUUUAUCUACCUCCUCAACAUUGCUUUCUAACUCUUUUUUCUCUUAUAUUAAGCUCUUUUCUUUCCCUCAUUGGUUCUUUUUUUCUUUUUUAAAUUAGCAUCACUGAUGUUUCCUGUAGAUUCAUUUUUUUUAAGUCUUUUAUUUGUUUUUCAUUCAGUUUGUUUUCUAUUCCUUGCAUGUUUUCUGUUUUUCCCAAAUUGUUGUUUUUAUUUUCUUCUCUUAUAUAACUUUUUUACAAUGUUUAAUGAGCUUUCAUUAUAUGCUUAGAUUUUAAAUGUAGGCCACUAAAAAAGCAUGCACAUGUUUGUACAACUUGGUAUGAAUAAAUAUGUUACUGUGGAAAAAAUCUAGCUGGCUGAUGCCUCAGAUCAUCCCUGAUACAGGAAACUAGAAUUAUUUUUCUUUUCUCUUUGGUCUGGUUAAACUUCUAUAAGGAUUUCUGGUCUUUCUCCUGAAGGUUAAAUGUUUGGCAGCUUAAGAUCCCUGGGUAGUUACCAACCAGGAGCUUUCAAACUACCAUAUUUCCUUUAUGUUUUUUAGUUGAUAUCUUUAAAAUAUUUUUAUUAUUAUUAUAGUGAUG